AGAGAGAGACAUGCGCGCAUAUCAAUAAGCGGAGGAAAAGAAGCUAACUAGGAUUCCCUCAGUAACGGCGAGUGAAGCGGGAAGAGCUCAAAUUUGAAAUCUUCAAGGUUUUACCUUGACGAAUUGUAGUUUAAAGAAGUGUUUUCUGUUGGAGUUUUGGUAAAAGUUCUUUGGAAUAGGACAUCAUAGAGGGUGAGAAUCCCGUAUUUGACCAUUAUUUCCAGCUUUGUGAUACACUUUCAAAGAGUCGGAUUGUUUGGGAAUGCAGUCCAAAAUGGGUGGUAAAUUUCAUCUAAAGCUAAAUAUUGGCGAGAGACCGAUAGCGAACAAGUACCGUGAGGGAAAGAUGAAAAGAACUUUGAAAAGAGAGUUAAACAGUACGUGAAAUUGUCAAAAGGGAAGCGUUUGACACCAGUGUUGUUUUCUCGAAAAUCAAUUAAAAAAGGCAGGAUUUUGUGUUGUAUUGACUUUAUCAGCUUUCUGCACUCUUUUCUUGUCUUUUUUAAUGCACUUUUCGUUUAACAAGUCAACAUCAAUUUCUUUUGUUGUAAAAGGGUCAUUGGAAGGUGGCUUUCUUUUCGGAGAAAGUGUUUAUAGCCUUUGGCCUCUGCAAUCGGAGAGAUUGAGGUCUGCAGCGUAGAUCCUUCGGGGUUAGAUACAUUUGUGCUAAGUUAUAGCCUUUCAUAGACAACUUGUUGACUAUGAUCAGUCAUGUAGCUUACUCGCUUAUGCUAUUUUACCUACGCUUAGGAUGUUGAUGUGAUACUGCGAGCA
RNAcentral lists this ribosomal RNA (774 nucleotides) under uncultured Neocallimastigales. Its description in RNAcentral is "partial large subunit ribosomal RNA". It matches the Rfam family "Eukaryotic large subunit ribosomal RNA", at positions 23 to 639 of the family's 3401-position model. The record is from RNAcentral. Lineage: Eukaryota; Fungi; Neocallimastigomycota; Neocallimastigomycetes; Neocallimastigales.